AUUGAACGCUGGCGGCAGGCCUAACACAUGCAAGUCGAACGAGUGGCGGACGGGUGAGUAAUGUCUGGGAAACUGCCCGAUGGAGGGGGAUAACUACUGGAAACGGUAGCUAAUACCGCAUACCCUCGGAUGUGCCCCGAUGGGAUUAGCUAGUAGGUGGGGUAACGGCUCACCUAGGCGACGAUCCCUAGCGGGUCUGAGAGGAUGACCAGCAAAAUGGGAAUGGAGACACGGUCCAGACUCCUACGGGAGGCAGCAGUGGGGAAUAUUGCACAAUGGGCGAAAGCCUGAUGCAGCAAUGCCGCGUGUAUGAAGAAGGCCUUCGGGUGGUAAAGUACUUUCAGCGGGGAGGCGUUACUCGCAGAAGAAGCACCGGCUAACUCCGUGCCAGCAGCCGCGGUAAUUC
Molecule: ribosomal RNA, 406 nt
Filed under: uncultured bacterium
Lineage: Bacteria
Description: partial 16S ribosomal RNA
Rfam family: Bacterial small subunit ribosomal RNA
Source: RNAcentral